Molecule: long non-coding RNA, 231 nt
Organism: Haliotis rubra (blacklip abalone)
Lineage: Eukaryota; Metazoa; Mollusca; Gastropoda; Lepetellida; Haliotidae
Exons: 2
Source: RefSeq, a predicted model, not a curated record
GGAACUGCAGCGUGUCAGACCACAGUUUAUACAUUCCUUUGAUCAGUACAAAUUGUGCUACAAGAUGGUGAAGGAAUACAACCGUGCUUCCAACGUCUACGCCAAUCUGAUAUAAAACAACAGCUUUACAUUCCCCAGAGUCUUGGAAUGAUCAAUGACCUGUUUUGAGAAACAAUCAUGUUCUUGAAUGCAAUGUAAUAUAUGGUCAAAUGCAACAUAUGUUUGGAAUUA